UACGAAGGGGGCUAGCGUUGUUCGGCCUUACUGGGCGUAAAGCGCACGUCGGCGGAUAUUUAAGUCAGGGGUGAAAUCCCGCAGCUCAACUGCGGAACUGCCUUUGAUACUGGGUAUCUUGAGUAUGGAAGAGGUAAGUGGAAUUCCGAGUGUAGAGGUGAAAUUCGUAGAUAUUCGGAGGAACACCAGUGGCGAAGGCGGCUUACUGGUCCAUUACUGACGCUGAGGUGCGAAAGCGUGGGGAGCAAACAGG
This 253-nucleotide ribosomal RNA is filed under the name uncultured bacterium. RNAcentral describes it as "partial 16S ribosomal RNA". It matches the Rfam family "Bacterial small subunit ribosomal RNA", at positions 524 to 776 of the family's 1533-position model. The record is from RNAcentral.